Molecule: ribosomal RNA, 322 nt
Filed under: Salmonella enterica
Lineage: Bacteria; Pseudomonadati; Pseudomonadota; Gammaproteobacteria; Enterobacterales; Enterobacteriaceae
Description: partial 23S ribosomal RNA
Rfam family: Bacterial large subunit ribosomal RNA
Source: RNAcentral
GGGUUGUGAGGUUAAGCGACUAAGCGUACACGGUGGAUGCCCUGGCAGUCAGAGGCGAUGAAGGGCGUGCUAAUCUGCGAUAAGCGCCGGUAAGGUGAUAUGAACCGUUAUAACCGGCGAUACCCGAAUGGGGAAACCCAGUGUGAUUCGUCACACUAUCAUUAACUGAAUCCAUAGGUUAAUGAGGCGAACCGGGGGAACUGAAACAUCUAAGUACCCCGAGGAAAAGAAAUCAACCGAGAUUCCCCCAGUAGCGGCGAGCGAACGGGGAGGAGCCCAGAGCCUGAAUCAGCAUGUGUGUUAGUGGAAGUGUCUGGAAAGG